Schistosoma rodhaini is the source of this 45-nucleotide non-coding RNA. Lineage: Eukaryota; Metazoa; Platyhelminthes; Trematoda; Strigeidida; Schistosomatidae. The record is from Rfam.
AUCCAGCUGACGAGUCCCAAAUAGGACGGAACGCACGUCCUGGAU